Transfer RNA from Ovis aries (sheep), 57 nucleotides. It matches the Rfam family "tRNA", at positions 8 to 63 of the family's 71-position model. Rfam says of the family: Transfer RNA (tRNA) molecules are approximately 80 nucleotides in length. Their secondary structure includes four short double-helical elements and three loops (D, anti-codon, and T loops). Further hydrogen bonds mediate the characteristic L-shaped molecular structure. tRNAs have two regions of fundamental functional importance: the anti-codon, which is responsible for specific mRNA codon recognition, and the 3' end, to which the tRNAs corresponding amino acid is attached (by aminoacyl-tRNA synthetases). tRNAs cope with the degeneracy of the genetic code in two manners: having more than one tRNA (with a specific anti-codon) for a particular amino acid; and 'wobble' base-pairing, i.e. permitting non-standard base-pairing at the 3rd anti-codon position. The record is from Rfam. Lineage: Eukaryota; Metazoa; Chordata; Mammalia; Artiodactyla; Bovidae.
UGGCUCAGAUGUUAGAGCGUCUGCCUGCAAUGCAGGAGACCCGGGUUCAAUCCCUGG